AGAAAAACUAUGCUGAGAAGGCCCAUAUGAAGAAAACGUCUGUACAUUUCUAUCACGUCAUAUACAUAUAUAAUCACUGAUCACUGUAUUUGUUACUCCUCGCUGCAUGUGUAUUUUUAAAGGAUAUUUACCUGUUAAUGUCCCUUAUUUAGAAUCCAUAUGUUUGACUGGUUUUACAUGCGAGAUUGGGAGGGUGCUCUAAAUGAGGUUAUAUAUAUAUAUAAAGGCUGUAAAAAUCCCUAUCUGAGCUCAGGGUGAUGCAAGUGUUAUUUUAGGGAUGAUGGUUGUUUUAGAUUUUUCACCAAAUUAAGUUGUGCAUAUCAAAUGGAGUUGGUAUAUAUUGAAUGCGACAGAUACUUUUUCUGAAAAUAAUUGAUAACAGCCACCUUGUUGGUUGUGUCACAGUGUUAAAAACUGCUAGCAAAGUGUUUGGCUAAUGAUGAGGUAGAAUGGGAGAAAAUAUCAAUGAGAAAGGAUGAUGCUGAUUUGUCAUUUCUCAUUGUAACACAAUGUUGAGUAGGUUUGGUUGCCAAUUAGCUAUUAUUCUUGGAAAAUUCAUGAUUCUUUGGUGUCUAGCAUACAUUUGGUACUAAAAGUACAAAAAUAAAUUGUGAGCACUCUUGUAGCUAGCCAUGCAAUAAUCUGCUGGCCUUAUUGUAAAUUUGUAAUAGUUCAAUCUAGAGGGUAAAAUACAUGUCUUCAUCUAUAUUUUGUUAGAUAGGAUCUUUUAAAGUUUCUGUGAGAAUCAUGGGCAAGUCUUUCAAUAGCUGAAACCUGUAUGCAGACUUGUGAAAUGUAUCCUCUCUGCUCAGUCAUUUUCCUCCUGUUUCGGCUAGGUCCUGAUUGAGGAAAUCUUGUAAUUAUACUUGCUUGCAAAUUAUUUUUCCAGCUAUUAGCAUGUGAAUAUGCAGUUAUGCUACAUCAACUAAUACUUCGUUUGCUUUGUUAUUAUUGCUAGUUUUUUUGUAUGGCCAGCUCAAUGAGUCAACAGUUAAUUAAAAGUUUUGCACUUUUGCUUGUGGAUAUUUUUCUAUCAUGUCAAUAGAUUGGCCAUGCAUGAAGAGUCAACAUCUAGGCGCAAGGUGGAUGAUGAAGUUCAUGAA
This 1103-nucleotide unclassified non-coding RNA is filed under the name Hevea brasiliensis (rubber tree). Lineage: Eukaryota; Viridiplantae; Streptophyta; Magnoliopsida; Malpighiales; Euphorbiaceae. The record is from RNAcentral.